This 168-nucleotide ribosomal RNA is filed under the name Doronicum stenoglossum. Its description in RNAcentral is "5.8S ribosomal RNA". It matches the Rfam family "5.8S ribosomal RNA". Rfam says of the family: 5.8S ribosomal RNA (5.8S rRNA) is a component of the large subunit of the eukaryotic ribosome. It is transcribed by RNA polymerase I as part of the 45S precursor that also contains 18S and 28S rRNA. The record is from RNAcentral. Lineage: Eukaryota; Viridiplantae; Streptophyta; Magnoliopsida; Asterales; Asteraceae.
AAACGACUCUCGGCAACGGAUAUCUCGGCUCACGCAGUCAUGAAGAACGUAGCAAAAUGCGAUACUUGGUGUGAAUUGCAGAAUCCCGUGAACCAUCGAGUUUUUGAACGCAAGUUGCGCCCGAAGCCUUUUGGCCGAGGGCACGUCUGCCUGGGCGUCACGUGUCAC